UAGGGAAUCUUCCGCAAUGGGCGAAAGCUUGACGGAGCAACGCCGCGUGAGUGAUGAAGGUCUUCGGAUCGUAAAACUCUGUUAUUAGGGAAGAACAAAUGUGUAAGUAACUAUGCACGUCUUGACGGUACCUAAUCAGAAAGCCACGGCUAACUACGUGCCAGCAGCCGCGGUAAUACGUAGGUGGCAAGCGUUAUCCGGAAUUAUUGGGCGUAAAGCGCGCGUAGGCGGUUUUUUAAGUCUGAUGUGAAAGCCCACGGCUCAACCGUGGAGGGUCAUUGGAAACUGGAAAACUUGAGUGCAGAAGAGGAAAGUGGAAUUCCAUGUGUAGCGGUGAAAUGCGCAGAGAUAUGGGGGAACACCAGUGGCGAAGGCGACUUUCUGGUCUGUAACUGACGCUGAUGUGCGAAAGCGUGGGGAUCAAACAGG
This 429-nucleotide ribosomal RNA is filed under the name Actinomycetes bacterium. RNAcentral describes it as "Actinobacteria bacterium partial 16S ribosomal RNA". It matches the Rfam family "Bacterial small subunit ribosomal RNA", at positions 355 to 776 of the family's 1533-position model. The record is from RNAcentral. Lineage: Bacteria; Bacillati; Actinomycetota; Actinomycetes.